RNAcentral lists this ribosomal RNA (439 nucleotides) under uncultured bacterium. RNAcentral describes it as "partial 16S ribosomal RNA". It matches the Rfam family "Bacterial small subunit ribosomal RNA", at positions 339 to 795 of the family's 1533-position model. The record is from RNAcentral.
CUACGGGUGGCUCCAGUGAGGAAUAUUGCACAAUGGGGGGAACCCUGAUGCAGCAACGCCGCGUGGAGGAUGACGCAUUUCGGUGUGUAAACUCCUUUUAUAUGUCAAGAAAAUGACGGUAGCAUAUGAAUAAGCACCGGCUAACUCCGUGCCAGCAGCCGCGGUAAUACGGAGGGUGCAAGCGUUACUCGGAAUCACUGGGCGUAAAGGACGCGUAGGCGGGCUUGUAAGUCAGGUGUGAAAUCCUACAGCUUAACUGUAGAACUGCACUUGAAACUACGAGCCUAGAGUAUGGGAGGGGCAGAUGGAAUUAGUGGUGUAGGGGUAAAAUCCGUAGAUAUCACUAGGAAUACCUAAAGCGAAGGCGAUCUGCUGGAACAUAACUGACGCUAAGGCGUGAAAGCGUGGGGAGCAAACAGGAUUAGAUACCCUCGUAGUC